Non-coding RNA from Delphinapterus leucas (beluga whale), 4521 nucleotides. The record is from RefSeq and is a predicted model, not a curated record. Lineage: Eukaryota; Metazoa; Chordata; Mammalia; Artiodactyla; Monodontidae.
UAAAAAAUAAAUUAAAUUUAAAAAAACAAAAAAAUUAUUAGUUUCAGGUGUACAACAAUGAUUCAAUGUUUAUAUAUAUUACAAAAUGAUCAUCACAACAAAUCUAGUUAACAACCAUCACUACACAGAGUUACAAGUUAUUUUCCUCUUGUGAUGAGAACUUUUAAGCUCUGUUCUCUUAGCAACUUUCAAAUAUGCAAUACAGUAUUAUUAACUGUAUUAUUACUGUAACUGUGUAAUGCCAUGCUGUACAUUACAUCCCAGGACUUAUUUAUUUUAUAACUGGAAGCUUUACCUUUUGAUCCCCUUCACCCAUUUCAUCCCUCCCACUCCCCGCCAUGGGCUUUUUAAUUCAGUGGCGGGGGGCUGGGGGGAUGCUCUCAAAGUAGAGAAGAAGCUGGGGACGACCAGAAGCGUGGUUGCUUCCUGAGUGUGUGUGUGUUCUUAAUGUCUCUGUGGUUCUUGUCAACAGUAUUAAUGUCAUAUUUUUAGCUCCUCUGUUUAUGAUUUUGGCAGAAAGAAUACGGCAGAUUAUGUGAGAAGAAUUUCUAAAUUCCAUCAGAGCCCUGGCUGCGAAGGAUAAAGCCAAGUAUAAAAAAGGAUAAAGUGCUUUUAUUUGCUUCAUCGUUAUGAAUUCAUUGGGCCUCAUAGGCCCAAAAUGUUGGCACAUUUUCCAUAAACAUUAAGCAAGCUACUAAUUAUUGACAUUAGACACAGCAGUGCUCUGGCUUCACUAAGGCAGUGAAUCAGGCCACUCUUUGUAUUUUACAACUAUGGUUUAAAAUGUUUUAGCAUCAUAUUUAUACCCCAGCUCCUGAAGGCAUUAAUUAAGACAACUGCUCAAAGACUAGCAUUGUAAAUCAUGUCCAUAUCCAAUGGGUAAAGUCAGAGAAUUAUAGGGACUUGCAAGGAAUUUAUGUCUACUUUCCACCGCUUCUGAAACUCCUUUUUUAUUUUGAAAGGGGAAAUUAGUGGAGAGAGAGAAAAGCUUGAGGGAAAAAUGAUUCUUGUAAAACAGGACUACCACUAAUUAUAUUUUCAGGACAUCAUUAAAUGCAGCUCGACAAAAAAAUUGAAAUGUUUGAUAGCUGCAGGAAAAAAAAAUCUGUUAUCUGUAUUAUUAUUAUUAUUGCCAAAGUAGCUGUACUCCCUUUAAAAGCUAUUAUGUAAAAUGUUUUUCGUUUAAGCAUCAUUGAGCAGAGAGGCAUGGGAAGGCCCAGUAGUGAAAUCACCAGUGGACUUGGAGGCAUUUAGGGAAGCAUGAAGGCAGCUUUUGAGAACCUCAGUGUCUAAAGCCAGGAUUAGACACUAUAGAGGACAUUAUUGGGUCACUUCACAAAAAUGGAAUAUGAAUUGACAUAAAAGUAUUAUAUCAGUGUUAAAUUUACUGACAUUGAUAACAGUACAGUUUUCUGAUAACAUCCUUAUCACAGCAGCCCGGGUGAGUGAAAAAAGAAUAUCUGUCACCCCAGAAGCUGGGUACUCCUUAGGGUAUGGUGUUUUGAAAGAAGGUAGCAAGGCUUGUAAAACAAAUAAACAAAAACCUAGUUUUUAACCGACUAAUGAGCAUGAUAUAAUAUAGGAUAUUGUCUAUCAUUAUUUAUUCUAAUAAGUUAAACCAUGGAAUCAUUCAACACAAUGAACAGAAGGUUGCAUUUUCAUCUUUAUACAUUUUAGUAUUUUAGCCUUAAUCACGUGAUAGCCGUGAGUGGUCAAUUACGUUCAUAUCAAAUUGCAGCCUGUGAGGAUUUAAAGAGCUCAGUUUACAUUCUUUUGAAAAUGAGCUUUGUGUGGUUUUUAAAAACUUUUAACCUCUGAAGAUACUAAGAUCUCCCUCUGUCUUUCCUGGUCUUUCAUUUCUUUGCGUUUAUUCGUUAGAAGGUAGAAAUGUACAGUUAACUUGGUGCUGACCUCUUGUAUUCUCAUUCAUCAGACAUGCAUUUCCCUCGAUUAUCAGUUUCUUUCCAAACAACUUAAUCAGAAUUUCAGAACCCCUCUCAUUUUAAAUUUCAAAUUCUAAUUACUUAAUUGAGCUAUUAAAUUUUUCAAAUUUGUUUUCCAUUCUUUGUCCAUAUUCUGGGGGCAGAAGCUUUUCUUCUGUCCCCCGUGUAGGGAGCAUAGCGGGUAGAGCGUGGACCAAACCCCCUCUUCUCCACUGUCCCCUCCCCUGCCCUGCAGCAGGGGGAUGCCAGGUCUGACUCUCACUGCCUUCAUCUUUCUCGUCUCAGAGACCCACAGCCUGCAUGCACGUGUGCCAGUUUGAAGGACCUGGGGCUCUGCACCCCAGCUGACCUUUACAGGAUCCGUGAAACACAGAUGCCACUUUAAUGCCGAGACCCUGUGAACCACAGUAAAGUUGGACUCUGUCAGUAGCAAGGGAUGUGUUUCUUCAGGAAAAAGCUGGAACUGGGACAGCGUCAGUAACUGCAGCAGCUCUGGCCUCUCUGCCGUGAGCCACCCGGCAUCUCCUGUGACCCCAUUUCCCUCCCAGCCAGCUUCCUCUGCGUAUUUUUAGGCUUUCUUUCCCUGAUAACUUGGUCUUACAUGGGGCUUUGGCUUGCCGUGACCUCUUCUACUUUAACUUCAUAUCAAACGUUUCAGGUUUUUCCAAGCUGCAUUUGAUGAUGUCCUGAUAAUAUAAUCAGUGAUAACCUUGUUUUACAAGCAAUCAGCUUCUAUUCCUUCCACGCUUUUCUUUGAAAAUUUACAUGAGACUGGGUGAGGCAGAGUAUAAGAACAUGAGUGUGUCUGGUGGACCUCGCUCAGCUCCUGCAACCAGCCACGUCAUAGCUGCUGACCUGCUUAGGGAGGCCUGCCCAGGCUGGGUGGGUGGGUCACUUGCUCUGCAGGGAAGCCCCUUCCCCAGAGCUAUUCUCUUCAGAAGAGGCAUGGGCGGAAGCAUGGCAGAGACUUGGAUAGGACAGCCCAGCAAAAACCAUCUUGCUCCUCCCUACUCAGAGUUAACCGUUUACUGACUGAAUUUACCCACAUGAACUACUGUCUUGACUCCAUCUAUACAGGGCCUAAGUAAUAAUGGAAGGUGAACUUGAAACCAAGUAAGAGAUCUCUUUCUGGGAGGCUGGUGGGUUUUGUUUCGUUUCCUUCAGGUGUUGCUGGCUCCGGCUGUCAGUGACUUUGAGGUUGGCAUCAGCUCCUCGAGCUUCCCCUGGGAUCUUUACCCUGGAUAGAUGCCUGUCCUAGGCGUUCUUUCAUGAGUUAUAAAAACUUAUUUUUGAGUGUCUCCUCUGGAUCAGGCAUUGUGCUUGGCCUUGGGAACAUAAAAUAGUAAACAAAACAGACUCAACUCCUACUUCGUGGGGAUUAAGUCUAAUGGGAGAAGUAGGCAUUAAAUAAAUCACUGUACCAUUACCGUUGAUGGGUGCUAUGUGAAGGGUGUGUGAGCCACCACAUUUAAGCUGAGACCCGAAGGCUGUUAGACAUAGUCACUCAAAGGAGGGGAGGAAGAAUUUCAGGCAGAGGGAACACAGCCCGAUCCCAAUCCGUGGUCGUGUCUAGAACAUUGCCUUGUUCCUGAGAAUGUUGAGUGUGGCCAUGCCUGGGCUUUUUUUUUUUUUUUUUUUUUUUAAAUAUACAUUCAUUUGCUUUAUUUUUUAGAUUCCACAUGUAAGUGAUAACAUAGAGUAUUUGUCUUUCUGUCUGUGGGCAUUCUUAAAUGACCCACUCCCACCAGGUCAUGAGCUCCUGUAGAGCAGGGACUUCCAGUACAGGGCUCAUGGUAGGCACUUAAUAAAUAUGUAUUUAGUAAAUAAGAGGGGUUGGUCAUAGACAGUCUUUGAGCCACUUUCUGUUAGACUAUUUUUAUAUUAAAAUACGACAGAUUGCUCAUGAAAAGGUCUGAAGUAACUUGAUUUUUCAAAAGCUGCUUCCCCAGCGAGGCUGGCUGGUGGCCACCCUUGGAGAACGCUGUUUGUCAGGUCAGCACGUCCUCGCCCUGCCUCUCCUGCUGUUUUCCACGCUGUGUUCUUUACCCUGUUGGCUUAGCAUGGAGUUAGAGAAGCUGGCCAAUGGGACACGGAAGCUAUGUCCAGGAGUGUGUUUUCUGGGCUUUUGCAGAGAUGAAGCCUCCUCACAGCUGUUGAGCAAAGCAAAGCAUCCGCUCUCUAGACAACUUGGGAAGUUCCGCUGCAUAGAUAUGUGUUCCGCCAAGUAUUGUGCUAAGCACUGAGGUUGCAAAGCUGAGCAUGAUGAGUUCCUUGCCCUCCAAGAACCAGAGGAGCAGAGUGUGGGGGGACUGUGGUGGAGAAUUGGGCCAGCGGGAGCACCUACACCAGACUGAGCUGUUCUGAGUAAGAGGGAAUGGCUGGGCCCCAGUAAUGACCCUGAAUUUCUAAACCCAUGGAGUGUAUAAACUUCACUGCAUAUAUCUUGUGCCAUCUGUUUUGCCUGCAGAGGCCAUUUCCUGUGUCUGUCAAGUUCUAGAUAGUGAGAGCCUGUCAUGAGCUGAGCUUCAGGUAGAUGAGGUCUUACCUGACAUCAAUGGUCCUAUUUUUUUUUUUUUUU